This 461-nucleotide ribosomal RNA is filed under the name uncultured bacterium. RNAcentral describes it as "partial 16S ribosomal RNA". It matches the Rfam family "Bacterial small subunit ribosomal RNA", at positions 28 to 506 of the family's 1533-position model. The record is from RNAcentral.
GAUAAACGCUGGCGGCGUGCUUAACACAUGCAAGUCGAACGAAGUUUUUCUUUCGGGAGGAACUUAGUGGCGGACGGGUGAGUAACGCGUGGGUAACCUGCCCUGUACAGGGGGACAACAGCUGGAAACGGCUGCUAAUACCGCAUAAGCCCUUAGCACUGCAUGGUGCAUAGGGAAAAGGAGCAAUCCGGUACAGGAUGGACCCGCGUCUGAUUAGCCAGUUGGCAGGGUAACGGCCUACCAAAGCGACGAUCAGUAGCCGAUCUGAGAGGAUGUACGGCCACAUUGGGACUGAGACACGGCCCAGACUCCUACGGGAGGCAGCAGUGGGGAAUAUUGCACAAUGGAGGAAACUCUGAUGCAGCGACGCCGCGUGAGUGAAGAAGUAUUUCGGUAUGUAAAGCUCUAUCAGCAGGAAAGAAAAUGACGGUACCGGACUAAGAAGCACCGGCUAAAUACGU